AUUGAACGCUGGCGGCAGGCCUAACACAUGCAAGUCGAGCGGCAGCGGGAGAGUAGCUUGCUACUUUUGCCGGCGAGCGGCGGACGGGUGAGUAAUGCCUGGGGAUCUGCCCAGUCGAGGGGGAUAACUACUGGAAACGGUAGCUAAUACCGCAUACGCCCUACGGGGGAAAGCAGGGGACCUUUCGGGGCCCUUUAGCGCGUAGUUGGAUACGAACCCGAGGGUGGGUA
This 230-nucleotide ribosomal RNA is filed under the name uncultured bacterium. RNAcentral's name for it is "partial 16S ribosomal RNA". It matches the Rfam family "Bacterial small subunit ribosomal RNA", at positions 30 to 243 of the family's 1533-position model. The record is from RNAcentral.